CUGUCUCUUGCUUCAACAGUGUUUGGGUGGAACAG
Molecule: non-coding RNA, 35 nt
Organism: Myotis lucifugus (little brown bat)
Lineage: Eukaryota; Metazoa; Chordata; Mammalia; Chiroptera; Vespertilionidae
Source: Rfam